AGGAGAGUUUGAUCCUGGCUCAGGAUUAGAUACCCUGGUAGUCCUGAAUUCGGCUUAGAGUUUGAUCCUGGCUCAGGAUGAACGCUAGCUACAGGCUUAACACAUGCAAGUCGAGGGGCAGCGCGCGGAGGCUUCGGCCACUGUGGCGGCGACCGGCGAAUGGGUGAGUAACACGUAUCCAACCUGCCCGUCACUGGGGGAUAGCCCUCCGAAAGGAGAAUUAACACCCCAUGAUUGCAUUUGAGGCAUCUUUUAUGCAUUAAAGGUUACGGUGACGGAUGGGGAUGCGUCCGAUUAGCUAGUCGGCGGGGUAACGGCCCACCGAGGCGACGAUCGGUAGGGGGUCUGAGAGGAUGGUCCCCCACACUGGAACUGAGACACGGUCCAGACUCCUACGGGAGGCAGCAGUGAGGAAUAUUGGUCAAUGGGCGAGAGCCUGAACCAGCCAAGUAGCGUGAAGGAUGACGGCCCUACGGGUUGUAAACUUCUUUUAUGCGGGAAUAAAGUUCGCCACGUGUGGCGUUUUGCAUGUACCGCAAGAAAAAGCACCGGCUAAUUCCGUGCCAGCAGCCGCGGUAAUACGGAAGGUGCGAGCGUUAUCCGGAUUUAUUGGGUUUAAAGGGAGCGUAGGCGGAGCGCCAAGUCAGCUGUGAAAUCCUGCGGCUCAACCGUGGGCCUGCAGUUGAAACUGGCGUUCUUGAGUGCACAUGAGGAUGGUGGAAUUCGUGGUGUAGCGGUGAAAUGCUUAGAUAUCACGAAGAACUCCGAUUGCGAAGGCAGCUGUCUGGGGUGCUACUGACGCUGAGGCUCGAAAGUGCGGGUAUCAAACAGGAUUAGAUACCCUGGUAGUCCCCU
RNAcentral lists this ribosomal RNA (855 nucleotides) under uncultured Bacteroidota bacterium. RNAcentral describes it as "bacterial SSU rRNA". It matches the Rfam family "Bacterial small subunit ribosomal RNA", at positions 1 to 799 of the family's 1533-position model. Lineage: Bacteria; Pseudomonadati; Bacteroidota. The record is from RNAcentral.